RNAcentral lists this ribosomal RNA (387 nucleotides) under uncultured eukaryote. Its description in RNAcentral is "partial small subunit ribosomal RNA". It matches the Rfam family "Eukaryotic small subunit ribosomal RNA", at positions 587 to 972 of the family's 1831-position model. The record is from RNAcentral.
AGCUCCAAUAGCGUAUAUUAAAAUUGUUGCGGUUAAAAAGCUCGUAGUUGGAUCUGCGGCAUUCUGGAUUUCGGUCCCAUAUCUAUGGUGUACUGAAUAUCCGUGCCUACCUCUCUGAUAUUCGUCGGUGGCUCUUCAUCGGGUGCCGAUGCGAUCAGACAGUUUACUUUGAAAAAAUUAGAGUGCUCAAAGCAGGCGUCUAUGCCUGAAUAGUGGUGCAUGGAAUAAUGGAAUAGGACCUCGGUUCUAUUUUGUUGGUUUUCGGAACUUCCGAGGUAAUGAUCAAUGGGAAUAGAACGGGGGCAUUCGUAUUGCGACGUUAGAGGUGAAAUUCUUGGAUCGUCGCAAGACGGACUACUGCGAAAGCAUUUGCCAAGAAUGUUUUCA